CAACGUUCAUGUACCCUCCAUCGACUAAUGCGGAGAGUUCGGGCCAUGUUCAACAAACGAACCAGCCCCCACCAAUGCCACAUUUUCCAGCAACUUUCAUGUACCCUCCGUCGAGUAAUGCGGAGAGUUCGGGCCAUGUUCAACA
Long non-coding RNA from Juglans regia (Persian walnut), 145 nucleotides. RefSeq lists it as uncharacterized. The record is from RefSeq and is a predicted model, not a curated record. The transcript has 2 exons. NCBI's taxonomy places the organism in Eukaryota, Viridiplantae, Streptophyta, Magnoliopsida, Fagales, Juglandaceae.